This 99-nucleotide small RNA is filed under the name Caenorhabditis elegans. RNAcentral describes it as "Unclassified non-coding RNA R13A5.18". The record is from RNAcentral. Lineage: Eukaryota; Metazoa; Nematoda; Chromadorea; Rhabditida; Rhabditidae.
GGUGGAAUUGUUGGAUGGGAAGGAGGCCCUACAGAUCUCAAGGCCGACAGUAAAAAUAUCAGUCACCACGUUGUCGAUCGGCCAAUGGACAAGCUGGAG